AGGGAAUCUUCCGCAAUGGACGCAAGUCUGACGGAGCAACGCCGCGUGAGUGAGGAAGGCCUUCGGGUCGUAAAGCUCUGUUGCCAGGGAAGAAUGGCUUGCAGUUAACUGCUGCAAGUUUGACGGUACCUGAGAAGAAAGCCCCGGCUAACUACGUGCCAGCAGCCGCGGUAAUACGUAGGGGGCAAGCGUUGUCCGGAAUUAUUGGGCGUAAAGGGCGCGCAGGCGGCCGUUUAAGUCUCGUGUUUAAUCCCGGGGCUCAACCCCGGUACGCAUGGGAAACUGGAUGGCUUGAGUGCAGAAGAGGAGAGUGGAAUUCCACGUGUAGCGGUGAAAUGCGUAGAGAUGUGGAGGAACACCAGUGGCGAAGGCGGCUCUCUGGUCUGUAACUGACGCUGAGGCGCGAAAGCGUGGGUAGCGAAC
This 423-nucleotide ribosomal RNA is filed under the name uncultured bacterium. Its description in RNAcentral is "bacterial SSU rRNA". It matches the Rfam family "Bacterial small subunit ribosomal RNA", at positions 356 to 773 of the family's 1533-position model. The record is from RNAcentral.